GAUGAACGCUGGCGGCGUGCCUAAUACAUGCAAGUAGAACGCUGAAGGAGGAGCUUGCUCUUCUGGAUGAGUUGCGAACGGGUGAGUAACGCGUAGGUAACCUGCCUGGUAGCGGGGGAUAACUAUUGGAAACGAUAGCUAAUACCGCAUGACAACAGUUAUUGCAUGAUAACUGUUUAAAAGGGGCAACUGCUCCACUACCAGAUGGACCUGCGUUGUAUUAGCUAGUUGGUGAGGUAACGGCUCACCAAGGCGACGAUACAUAGCCGACCUGAGAGGGUGAUCGGCCACACUGGGACUGAGACACGGCCCAGACUCCUACGGGAGGCAGCAGGAGGGAAUCUUCGGCAAUGGACGGAAGUCUGACCGAGCAACGCCGCGUGAGUGAAGAAGGUUUUCGGAUCGUAAAGCUCUGUUGUAAGAGAAGAACGAGUGUGAGAGUGGAAAGUUCACACUGUGACGGUACCUUACCAGAAAGGGACGGCUAACUACGUG
Molecule: ribosomal RNA, 495 nt
Filed under: uncultured bacterium
Lineage: Bacteria
Description: partial 16S ribosomal RNA
Rfam family: Bacterial small subunit ribosomal RNA
Source: RNAcentral